RNAcentral lists this ribosomal RNA (492 nucleotides) under uncultured bacterium. RNAcentral's name for it is "partial 16S ribosomal RNA". It matches the Rfam family "Bacterial small subunit ribosomal RNA", at positions 29 to 507 of the family's 1533-position model. The record is from RNAcentral.
AGUGAACGCUGGCGGUAGGCCUAACACAUGCAAGUCGAACGGCAGCACGGUAAGAGCUUGCUCUUACGGGUGGCGAGUGGCGGACGGGUGAGGAAUACAUCGGAAUCUACUUUUUCGUGGGGGAUAACGUAGGGAAACUUACGCUAAUACCGCAUACGACCUACGGGUGAAAGCAGGGGAUCUUCGGACCUUGCGCGAUUGAAUGAGCCGAUGUCGGAUUAGCUAGUUGGCGGGGUAAAGGCCCACCAAGGCGACGAUCCGUAGCUGGUCUGAGAGGAUGAUCAGCCACACUGGAACUGAGACACGGUCCAGACUCCUACGGGAGGCAGCAGUGGGGAAUAUUGGACAAUGGGCGCAAGCCUGAUCCAGCCAUACCGCGUGGGUGAAGAAGGCCUUCGGAUUGUAAAGCCCUUUUGUUGGGAAAGAAAAGCAGCAGGUUAAUACCCCGCUGUUCUGACGGUACCCAAAGAAUAAGCACCGGCUAACUUCGUG